RNAcentral lists this long non-coding RNA (635 nucleotides) under Pan troglodytes (chimpanzee). RNAcentral's name for it is "lincRNA". Lineage: Eukaryota; Metazoa; Chordata; Mammalia; Primates; Hominidae. The record is from RNAcentral.
CCAGUUCUGCAUUGAGAAGGGCCGGGGAUGUGGUGGAAGCUAGGUGCCACCAAGUAGGGGGGUGUAGAUUCACAGCGGUCUAUUCUGGUCCCUCUUGGGAAGGUUCAAAAGCCAGUUUUGGCCACUUGUGCUCUUCUGCUGUGCCUAGACAGGAUCGUUUCUGAUGGUUAUAUGCAUGGUAGUGGCUGAGUUAGUUAAUGUUCCAUAUAAAGAAACUGUCAUGUGACACCAGUACCUCCUAAAAUUGGUCAGUGUGGUAGAUGGUUUAGAGAAAAAAGGAACCUGUUCCACAGGGCUGUGACCAUUCGAGGGAAGCACAUUCAAAGAUGUAGAUCCCCUCAGAGAAGUUUUCCAUUUCCCUGAAAUUAAAGAUCUUCAAAUGACUGCAAAUAACAUGAGGAUAUAUAGAAAAAUGCCCUUCCCCAAUUUCCAAAUCAUGAAAAUUUGGCUCAGCAGGAUCUGAACGUCUAUGACACUCUUUCGAGCUGACACAGUGAAGAACAUGGAAGGAGAACUCACCCAGUCUGCCAGGGUCACAGAUGAUCAUACUCAAGAUCUUCCUGGGGAGUCAAUGGCAAAUUUCACUGGGCUAUUUUACAGAUGAAGAAGGAACAUAAAGAAGGUUCUGGGACCCU